CUAUGCGCCUUGCCAGCCCGCUCAGGUGUGCCAGCAGCCGCGGUAAUACGUAGGGGCAAGCGUUGUCCGGAAUUACUGGGCGUAAAGGGCGCGUAGGUGGGCGCUUAAGUCAGGUGUGAAAACUCCGGGCUCAACCUGGAGACUGCACUUGAAACUGGGUGUCUUGAGGGCAGGAGAGGAAAGUGGAAUUCCUAGUGUAGCGGUGAAAUGCGUAGAUAUUAGGAGGAACACCAGUGGCGAAGGCGACUUUCUGGACUGUACCUGACGCUGAGGCGCGAAAGCGUGGGUAGCGAACGGG
Molecule: ribosomal RNA, 298 nt
Filed under: uncultured bacterium
Lineage: Bacteria
Description: partial 16S ribosomal RNA
Rfam family: Bacterial small subunit ribosomal RNA
Source: RNAcentral